RNAcentral lists this ribosomal RNA (766 nucleotides) under uncultured Streptococcus sp. RNAcentral describes it as "bacterial SSU rRNA". It matches the Rfam family "Bacterial small subunit ribosomal RNA", at positions 28 to 776 of the family's 1533-position model. The record is from RNAcentral. Lineage: Bacteria; Bacillati; Bacillota; Bacilli; Lactobacillales; Streptococcaceae.
GAUGAACGCUGGCGGCGUGCCUAAUACAUGCAAGUAGAACGCUGAAGCUUGGUGCUUGCACCGAGCGGAAGAGUUGCGAACGGGUGAGUAACGCGUAGGUAACCUGCCUCUUAGCGGGGGAUAACUAUUGGAAACGAUAGCUAAUACCGCAUAAAAGUCGGCAUUGCAUGAUGUUGACUUGAAAGGUGCAACUGCAUCACUAAGAGAUGGACCUGCGUUGUAUUAGCUAGUUGGUGAGGUAACGGCUCACCAAGGCGACGAUACAUAGCCGACCUGAGAGGGUGAUCGGCCACACUGGGACUGAGACACGGCCCAGACUCCUACGGGAGGCAGCAGUAGGGAAUCUUCGGCAAUGGACGGAAGUCUGACCGAGCAACGCCGCGUGAGUGAAGAAGGUUUUCGGAUCGUAAAGCUCUGUUGUAAGAGAAGAACGAGUGUGAGAGUGGAAAGUUCACACUGUGACGGUAACUUACCAGAAAGGGACGGCUAACUACGUGCCAGCAGCCGCGGUAAUACGUAGGUCCCGAGCGUUAUCCGGAUUUAUUGGGCGUAAAGCGAGCGCAGGCGGUUAGAUAAGUCUGAAGUUAAAGGCUGUGGCUUAACCAUAGUACGCUUUGGGAACUGUUUAACUUGAGUGCAGAAGGGGAGAGUGGAAUUCCAUGUGUAGCGGUGAAAUGCGUAGAUAUAUGGAGGAACACCGGUGGCGAAAGCGGCUCUCUGGUCUGUAACUGACGCUGAGGCUCGAAAGCGUGGGGGAGCAAACAGG